RNAcentral lists this ribosomal RNA (563 nucleotides) under uncultured Tomentella. Its description in RNAcentral is "eukaryotic LSU rRNA". The stretch from base 126 to 280 matches the Rfam family "5.8S ribosomal RNA". Lineage: Eukaryota; Fungi; Basidiomycota; Agaricomycetes; Thelephorales; Thelephoraceae. The record is from RNAcentral.
UGUGCACCCUCCGUUAGUUCCAUGGCCUGGGUGGGCUCUGUCCUCCUGGCGUGGUUCUACGUCUUUACACACACACUACAACAAAGUCUUAUGGAAUGUAUGUCGCGUUUAACGCAAUGAAAUACAACUUUCAGCAACGGAUCUCUUGGCUCUCGCAUCGAUGAAGAACGCAGCGAAAUGCGAUAAGUAAUGUGAAUUGCAGAAUUCAGUGAAUCAUCGAAUCUUUGAACGCACCUUGCGCCCUUUGGCUAUUCCGAAGGGCAUGCCUGUUUGAGUAUCAUGAACACCUCAACUCUCAUGGCUUGCCAUGAUGAGCUUGGACUUUGGGGGUCUUGUUGGCCUGUGAGCCAGCUCCUCUUAAAUGAAUUAGCUUGCCGGUGUUUGGUGGCGUCACGGGUGUGAUAACUAUCUACGCUUGUGGUUUCCCACCAGGUAACCUUCAGCAAUGGAGGUUCGCCGGAGCUUAUAAAUGUCUCUCCUCGGUGAGGACACAUUUUGACCAUUUGAUCUCAAAUCAGGUAGGACUACCCGCUGAACUUAAGCAUAUCAAUAAGCCGGAGGAA